This 87-nucleotide transfer RNA is filed under the name Clostridiales bacterium. RNAcentral describes it as "tRNA-Ser". It matches the Rfam family "tRNA". From Rfam's summary of the family: Transfer RNA (tRNA) molecules are approximately 80 nucleotides in length. Their secondary structure includes four short double-helical elements and three loops (D, anti-codon, and T loops). Further hydrogen bonds mediate the characteristic L-shaped molecular structure. tRNAs have two regions of fundamental functional importance: the anti-codon, which is responsible for specific mRNA codon recognition, and the 3' end, to which the tRNAs corresponding amino acid is attached (by aminoacyl-tRNA synthetases). tRNAs cope with the degeneracy of the genetic code in two manners: having more than one tRNA (with a specific anti-codon) for a particular amino acid; and 'wobble' base-pairing, i.e. permitting non-standard base-pairing at the 3rd anti-codon position. Lineage: Bacteria; Bacillati; Bacillota; Clostridia; Eubacteriales. The record is from RNAcentral.
GGAGAGGUGUCCGAGUGGCUAUAAGGAGCUGGUCUUGAAAACCAGUGUCUCCGCAAGGGGCCGUGGGUUCGAAUCCCACCCUCUCCG